ACCAGCUGGACGAGCCGCUGACCUCCGACCCCUGGGCAGCCAGGUGACUGCGUUGCUAGGCAACGACCGCUGUCUAGCCUCCGCGCGCUAUUUAGGCCCGUUCUCGGGUGAGACUGAAGAGGGACCUCACCGCCCGUCUUUGUCCUCUUUGUCCCCGUCGCCAGCGGGGAUCCGGCUCGCGGUCUGCGGUUCCAGUUGGCCCGCUACAGGCCGGGCGACCUGGGCUUCGUGCCCCGGCCAGCGCCGAAGCACCGGCCCGUCGUCUGCAGGGCGGGAGCAGCCGGGUCCGCGGAGUUAAAAAAGAAGCCGUCCAGCUCCGUCAAGCAGGCGGACGCAGCAGUCGGACUUCAGACCUGCGGGAAGCUCCUUACGAGACCCCAAUAACCACCAGCGUCCUCGUCAAGACGCCUUGUCCCACCCGUUUGUACGCCGUCGCCAUCCAGUCCAGCCGCACGUUAGAAAUAAGAAUGAGGACCCAGAGUCUCUCAUGAAUUCAACUUUUGUUUCCGCAUUCCAAAAAAUUCUCACUAAAAGAAGAGUACUAAAACGUGAAUAUGUGGACAAUUUAGAGCUCAUGAAGUUUGGGUUCCUCUUACAUCUUCGGAUUGUGUUUUUUGAUGAGCAAUAAAUGAAAUUGUACCACUCGAGUACUGACGCAUCGACACCAAGUACCAAAAGAGUCACUGCAGCACGGCCCAUUAAAACAAUCAGACAUAUUAUUGGAGUAUUAGUCCUUUGCUUUUUAUGUACGUUAUGACUUAUCAAAUAUGAAUCAUUGUAUUUUAGAG
This is a long non-coding RNA of Gasterosteus aculeatus aculeatus (three-spined stickleback), 788 nucleotides long. The record is from Ensembl. NCBI's taxonomy places the organism in Eukaryota, Metazoa, Chordata, Actinopteri, Perciformes, Gasterosteidae.